Cercocebus atys (sooty mangabey) is the source of this 483-nucleotide long non-coding RNA. RefSeq lists it as uncharacterized. NCBI's taxonomy places the organism in Eukaryota, Metazoa, Chordata, Mammalia, Primates, Cercopithecidae. The record is from RefSeq and is a predicted model, not a curated record. The transcript is spliced from 2 exons.
CUUCCAGAAAUAGUUAGUGCACAUGCUAGCUUGUGUCACCUAAACUCCUAAUUUGAUUUAAUUUCACGGGUGUUUGCAGAGCCCCUAUUGUGUGCAAAGAAAUGAACUGAGCUCUCUGGUCUCACACCCUACUCUGAUCCACUAAGCACCGGCAGCUUCAGGCCCACCACGGCUGGCCUCCCAUCUCUUUCUCUAAGCAGCGGUGCCUGUGUGUUGAGCACUUCAGGGCAAACACUUGCCUGCCAUGAUGGACCACCUUUCUGUGCAGAUGCUGAGUACACACCAGCUCCCACUCCCACGGCUGCUUUGCAAGGACAGUGUUAAUGAUCCUCACUUUGUAAACAAGGAAAACUGAAGCUCAGAAAAGAGGGAUGGAGGGCGGUAAGGUCGGGCAUCCUACACAUAUGGUGAUAUCAUUGGACAUUUUGUGUUGAAGAACGAUGGAGUGUUGAACACAGAAUCACAGAAUUUUACUUUAUUUUA